Molecule: ribosomal RNA, 479 nt
Filed under: uncultured bacterium
Lineage: Bacteria
Description: bacterial SSU rRNA
Rfam family: Bacterial small subunit ribosomal RNA
Source: RNAcentral
UUGAACGCUGGCGGCAUGCCUAACACAUGCAAGUCGAACGGUUUUGGAGCUUGCUCCAAGAUAGUGGCGGACGGGUGAGUAACGCGUAGGAAUCUGCCUUGUAGAGGGGGACAACCCGGGGAAACUCGGGCUAAUACCGCAUAAUAAUCGAGAGAUGAAAGGGUGGGACCUUCGGGCCACUCGCUAUAAGAUGAGCCUGCGUUGGAUUAGCUAGUUGGUGGGGUAAAGGCCUACCAAGGCGACGAUCCAUAACUGGUCUGAGAGGAUGACCAGUCACACUGGGACUGAGACACGGCCCAGACUCCUACGGGAGGCAGCAGUGGGGAAUAUUGGACAAUGGGGGCAACCCUGAUCCAGCAAUGCCGCGUGUGUGAAGAAGGCCUGCGGGUUGUAAAGCACUUUUAGCGAUGAGGAAGGGGUUUAUGUUAAUAGCAUAAAUCAUUGACGUUAGUCGCAGAAAAAGCACCGGCUAACUCUGU